RNAcentral lists this long non-coding RNA (1603 nucleotides) under Mus musculus (house mouse). Its description in RNAcentral is "long non-coding RNA chr5:135162254-135163857". Lineage: Eukaryota; Metazoa; Chordata; Mammalia; Rodentia; Muridae. The record is from RNAcentral.
UUGAUAUACUUUGUUUUCUGCACUCCGCUCUCUAUUGUGGAUUCAGGUUUCUGAUAAGAUCAGCCAUAUUGAAGACCAUGUGGCCACACACGGAUUUGGGCUUCUGACUACACAGCUGUGCCUCAGGCUUGUGUGUGCGUGUGGGGGUCUGGUGGGCAUCUGCUCUGGUUGUCGGAAAGCAUCUGAAAAUGCGUUCUCUUGCUUCUGCACUCGUGUCUUGAGAAGUAACUGGUGCCGUGGCUGCACAGGGAAGGCAGUGAACCCUAGCAAGAAUGCUGAGCUGCUGAAGUCAGAAGUCUGUUCCCAAACUGGCCAAUUCACUGGCCUGUGGCCUGGAGUCCUGUAAUCACAGAGGCUGCCAGAGUUCGUCUCCCCACUUGUGGAAUGGGAAUAAAUGUUGUUCUGUUACCGCGCAUGGUGAUUCUUUGCUUGUGUACAUGCUUAUGGGUUACACUGGGGGUUAGAUAUGUGCUCUUGCCCCAAACCCAUUUUUUUUUGUGUGUGUAUUUGAGAAAAAGACUCACUUUGUUGUCUUGGCUGGCCUGGAAUUUAUAGAAAUCCACCUGUCUUGGCUUCCUGAGUGCUUGGUUUUAAGGCAUGUGCCACCAUACACAGGUCCUUUCGCCUGUGUUUUGAGCUAAUGUUUCACUAAGUUGCUUUUGAUCUUGAGAUUCUCUAGCGUGUCAGGCCUACAUCUGCAUGCCUGGGAGCUGUGAGUUCUGAAUGAGUUGGGAGCACUACAAAAGGUCAUUGCACAGACUGCCCAGGGGUAGGCUAGAGCUGUUCGUGUUGCCCUAGGAAAGGUGUCUGGCUAGUACUACAGGCUGCCAAGCUUUUCUGAUCCUCGAGAGUAGAGGCGGCAUUGAUCUGCUGAUUCUACACAAGGUGUGGUAGUGCAUGCAUGCAGCCCAAGGGCUUGGCAGGUUGAAGAACCACGAGUCAGCACUGCAUAGACUGUCUAAAACACAGUUCAUGAAUGUAUUCAUUUUAGUUUUUUGAGAAAGGGUUUCUCUGUGUAGCACUGGUUGUCCUGGAACUUACUCUGUACACCAGGCUCGCCUCAAACUUUACAGAGAUCCACCUGCCUCUGCCUCUGCCUCCCAAGGGCUGCGAUUAAAGGCAUGUGCCACCACCAUUCAGAUCUAAAACACAAAAUUUAAUACUAAUUUUGAAGCUUCUUAAUUUUUAAAAUAAAGGUAUGGGUGAGCUAAAGGUGGUGCAAAGGUCAACCAACUCCAAUUUCAGGAGGAAAACCGCAAAGUCCACUUGAGCAAACAUCUGAUGGCAAUAGCCCCCCAUCCUCCACCCCUCUUAACAACAGCCAGUUAGUCUACAGCAGCAUGGUCAAGGUACAUAUAAACUAAGACAUCUGGCAGAAAAAAGAUAACCCAGCCAUCCUAUUUGUCAGGUGGUUUUGCCCCUGUGUUUGGUUCCUGCAAAUUACAGCAGAAAUGCAGUUUUAAAAAUAUUAAUUUGCUGACCUGUAUGGAAUUCCCCAAGCUUGCUGUAACCACCAUAAAUACCCUGCACCCCUAGACUCGAGGCUCUCACUUCUGACCACUGCACCGGUGAUGGAGUGCUCUUGAGCUCCUAAUAAAAGCCC